This is a non-coding RNA of Schistosoma curassoni, 45 nucleotides long. The record is from Rfam. Lineage: Eukaryota; Metazoa; Platyhelminthes; Trematoda; Strigeidida; Schistosomatidae.
UUUCGGCUGACGAGUUCUAUGUAGAACGAAACGCGCGUCCUGGAU